UGCCGGGCGCCACGAGGACGGUGGGCAGGUUUCCGCCGUCCCGCGCCAACUUCGCCAAGCCCGCCGAGCAGGGGCCGCCAGGCCAUCUCAAAGGUGCCGCCUUGGCAGGCCUCCUCACCUGCUACAAGCCCGCCGCCGGUGCUGCCUUGUGCUACGUCUCCAACAAACCGUCUCCCUCCCUCAACGAUCCCUCCUCCCUCAACGAUGCGUCCCUCCACCAAAAGCUUGAUGCUGUUCUUGACGGGAUCAAUCAGCUUCAUCAAAAACUGGAUAUGGAUAUGAUGGGCAUGAAGCGAUUUCUUUGGAGGAUUAUGUCUGCCGUUGCUUCAGUUUUCUGUGUUUUGCUCAUCACUGCCAUACUUUACAUCGUCGCAGAUGGCAGAGCUUAUAUGGAGGCAGAGCUGAACAAACUGGCCAAGGCCAUGUUUUUGAGCUUCACCAGUGAUGAUAAGGUUAAAGAGAGACUGCAGAAGCUCAUUGAGGAGGAAAUUGAUACCACUUUUUACCAUAUCGCCUCGCUUAAGACGUGGUAUAGAUGGUUACGAGGGAAGUGAUGUACACCAGAGACUGAAGUUAAUAAGAGGUACGGUGGCACGUUCUGUUGAAACACCAGGAUGCCAAGUUUUUGGAUGAUCAGAUGAAGACGAUGAAAAGCUGGCUACAGGAGUUUGGAUAGAAUUUGAUCGUGGAGGUUGUCUUGUAGUAUCGCUUCAGUCUUUCCCUCUUACGGAGUACUUAGUUGGUUGGUAAGGCUCUUCUGUUUUCGUGGACUUGCUCGUUCUGCUGCUCUAGGUGCUCUCUUUGAGUAUGUUUGGUUCUUUCAUUCAUGUAAGCUGGAAUCCCCAGCAGAUGUCUAAAACUAAAACUAUGUACUGUUUUUUUUUGGAGCUUACCCUUGUUAAAAAAAACAAAUUCAUGUUGGGUGGAAUCGGAGCAAACACCUUGAGGGCAUGAAGACAGAAGGCUGGUGGAAAUUCACAGGUUUAGGCAUAAGUGAAAGUGUCUGGAGGU
Sorghum bicolor (sorghum) is the source of this 1011-nucleotide long non-coding RNA. RefSeq lists it as uncharacterized. The record is from RefSeq and is a predicted model, not a curated record. The transcript is spliced from 3 exons. Lineage: Eukaryota; Viridiplantae; Streptophyta; Magnoliopsida; Poales; Poaceae.